UGCAAGUCGAACGAUGAAGCUUCUAGCUUGCUAGAAGUGGAUUAGUGGNGNACGGGUGAGGAAUAUAUAGCUAAUGUGCCCCUUAGAGGGGGAUAACAGUUGGAAACGACUACUAAUACCCCAUACUCCUUCUUGUUAUAAGACAAGUCGGGAAAGUUUUUUCGCUAAGGGAUCGGGCUAUACGGUAUCAGCUUGUUGGUGAGGUAAUGGCUCACCAAGGCUAUGACGCCUAUCUGGUCUGAGAGGAUGAUCAGACACACUGGAACUGAGACACGGUCCAGACUCCUACGGGAGGCAGCAGUGGGGAAUAUUGCACAAUGGAGGAAACUCUGAUGCAGCAACGCCGCGUGGAGGAUGACACAUUUCGGUGCGUAAACUCCUUUUAUGUGAGAAGAUAAUGACGGUAUCACAUGAAUAAGCACCGGCUAACUCCGUGCCAGCAGCCGCGGUAAUACGGAGGGUGCAAGCGUUACUCGGAAUCACUGGGCGUAAAGCGCGCGCAGGCGGCCUUUCAAGUUGGAUGUGAAAUCCUAUGGCUCAACCAUAGAACUGCAUCCAAAACUGUUAGGCUAGAGUCUGGGAGGGGAAGAUGGAAUUAGUUGUGUAGGGGUAAAAUCCGUAGAGAUAACUAGGAAUACCAAAAGCGAAGGCGAUCUUCUGGAACAGUACUGACGCUGAGGCGCGAAAGCGUGGGGAGCAAACAGGAUUAGAUACCCUGGUAGUCCACGCCCUAAACGAUGAAUGUUAGUCGUCGGGGAGCUAGUCUCUUCGGUGAUGCAGCUAACGCAUUAAACAUUCCGCCUGGGGAGUACGGUCGCAAGAUUAAAACUCAAAGGAAUAGACGGGGACCCGCACAAGUGGUGGAGCAUGUGGUUUAAUUCGAAGAUAC
This 889-nucleotide ribosomal RNA is filed under the name uncultured Campylobacterota bacterium. RNAcentral's name for it is "bacterial SSU rRNA". It matches the Rfam family "Bacterial small subunit ribosomal RNA", at positions 56 to 960 of the family's 1533-position model. Lineage: Bacteria; Pseudomonadati; Campylobacterota. The record is from RNAcentral.